Molecule: ribosomal RNA, 447 nt
Filed under: uncultured bacterium
Lineage: Bacteria
Description: partial 16S ribosomal RNA
Rfam family: Bacterial small subunit ribosomal RNA
Source: RNAcentral
AACGAACGCUGGCGGCAGGCUUAACACAUGCAAGUCGAGCGCCCCGCAAGGGGAGCGGCAGACGGGUGAGUAACGCGUGAGAAUCUACCCAUCCCUACGGAAUAGCUCCGGGAAACCGGAAUUAAUACCGUAUACGCCCUACGGGGGAAAGAUUUAUCGGGGAUGGAUGAGCCCGCGUUGGAUUAGCUAGUUGGUGGGGUAAAGGCCUACCAAGGCGACGAUCCAUAGCUGGUCUGAGAGGAUGAUCAGCCACAUUGGGACUGAGACACGGCCCAAACUCCUACGGGAGGCAGCAGUGGGGAAUAUUGGACAAUGGGGGCAACCCUGAUCCAGCCAUGCCGCGUGAGUGAUGAAGGCCUUAGGGUUGUAAAGCUCUUUCACCGGGGAAGAUAAUGACGGUACCCGGAGAAGAAGCCCCGGCUAACUUCGUGCCAGCAGCCGCAGUAA